CACGGGGGGGGCAAGCGUUGUCCGGAAUUAUUGGGCGUAAAGGGCGCGUAGGUGGGAUGAUUAGUCUGAGGUGCAAACUUACGGCUUAACUGUAAGCUUGCCUUGGAAACUGUCAUUCUUGAGUUCGGGAGAGGGAAAUGGAAUUCCUGGUGUAGCGGUGAAAUGCGUAGAUAUCAGGAAGAACACCGGUGGCGAAGGCGGUUUCCUGGCCCGAUACUGACACUGAGGCGCGAAAGUGCGGGGAG
RNAcentral lists this ribosomal RNA (245 nucleotides) under uncultured bacterium. RNAcentral's name for it is "partial 16S ribosomal RNA". It matches the Rfam family "Bacterial small subunit ribosomal RNA", at positions 524 to 768 of the family's 1533-position model. The record is from RNAcentral.